This is a long non-coding RNA of Meriones unguiculatus (Mongolian gerbil), 911 nucleotides long. RefSeq lists it as uncharacterized. Lineage: Eukaryota; Metazoa; Chordata; Mammalia; Rodentia; Muridae. The record is from RefSeq and is a predicted model, not a curated record. The transcript is spliced from 2 exons.
UCUGUCGUCUCCAGCAAGCGUCAAGUGUUAUACCCCACUGGGCCCUGCCCAGAGAUGGGCCUGGCACACAGGCCUUGCUCACUAGCUACUGUUCAGGGCCUGUGUACUGUCCUGGCUACAGUCCAGAACUGCUGGCGGCUUGGCCCAGGCAGAGCCCAGAACAUGACCUCUGGCAGUGGGCGGGGCCUCGGUUCUUCACAGAGCCCGGCUGUUUUCACGUGCUGCUUGGGCUGGGGAUCAGAAAGCCUGCCCUUGGAGUUGUGGCUGACUCAGAGCGCUGCCUUCCUGCCUCCGUGAAAACAAUUCGAUUUUCAGACCCUAAAGCUGAGGUGCUUUGAUUCGGGGAUUGCACUUAUUUACUCUCAGCUGCAGGGCUGUAGAGUCUGCCAUGGGACCCACGCCUGAGACCCACCUACAGAGAGCACUGCUCAGGCUGUGAGAGCCAGGGGAAGCGGCCCUGUCCCCACCGUGUCUUCAGAGGGCCUCAAGGAUCCAGACUGGCCCUGCCUCUACCUUAGCCAAAAUAAAGCCUCUUUCUACUAUUAAGAAACUAUCACAUGAGCACAGCUGAGCCCCACUCUGAGCCGGGCCCAGCUAACCGCAGUGCGGAGCACGGGGUCACUGUCGAUCUCUGAGAAGGCCAUGCCAACGGCAUAGAGGAGCCUGGAUACAAGGGAGGAAGCAAUUGGAUCCGCUUAAGUGCCACAAACAUAACCCCCCGGCGCUUCUCAGCAAGACCAGGUCCCUCGACGGGGACCCCGGGGAACAAGAACAUUCCAGCUAAUCUCCGACCACUUCUGCUAAUUGUACGAUGUUACGCGCUAAUCAACAGCCAAUGCCUUUGCUCUGUAAGACCAAGACAAAGCCUCAAAUUACUAAUUACACAAAUACAGUGUCUUUUGCUAAUUGGA